CCCUCACCCCUUCGUCCCCACCCCCUAUGGGAUCGUGAUAGUCCCCGCGUGCGCCCCCCGCGGCGGUCACGGCUGUGCUGGGCCCACGCGUGUCCCUGACCCCGCCGCCCGCUGAGCGGCCCCCGAGCUCCGCAUCCCUGCGGGAGGAGGAGAGACGCGCCGGGCGGAGCGGGGCUGGGCCGAGGCCAGGCAGGGAGCGCGGCGAGCCCGGCGGAGCGGAGCCGAGCCUGCCGGUUUCUGCUACCCUGGCUGCAUACUCGCUAUCAAAUUCCCCCAAGGGAGAGAAAGCAAGCAAACGCCUUAGAGUUAUCUACGAAAUUCACAAAAAGUCACUUCUUUGUAAAUUAUUAUGUGCCAGGAAAACAUCAAGAGAAAUAGUCUCAAGAACACAGGCAAAGGAAUCUGGGAGAAGGAAUAUGGGUCUUCAAAACAAAUGCUGUAGUGCUAUAGGCAGUAAAUCUCAUUAACGGGACUUUGUGUCAAGGCAGAAACCAGUAUAGUGACAAUAAUAAUCCCAUUUAUUUACAUAGCGCCAAAUAUAUCGUUGCCACUUUCCGAUAAAACAAAGGCAGAUUCCUCAAUGGCAGAGGGCGGAUCGAAGGACCCAAUCAGUUUCUUCCAUCCCUAACUUCUGUGAAUCUCAGAUAAAUAUACCACUUUGGAGAGAGGGGAGUGGGGGAAUCUCCGAUCUCCAUUAGACACUCAGCUCCAAGUUAGAGACAACAAGCGUUUCCCCUUCAGGCCCCAGAGGAAGGAAAUCAAUGCAUCUGCAGAGAAAGAAGAAGCCAUUGAGUUGUUUUGAAUGAAAAUGUGAUUGGGUUGUGGGGUUUUUUAGAGGAUUGAUCUAAAAGGAGAGUGAGGAGACAAGAAAGGGAGACAGAAGACAUUGGCCUGCUGCUGUCUGACUGGCAGAUUCCAGUUAACACCUUAUCAGCAGAGCAGCAGGCAGCAGCAAAUCCUCGCCCGCUGAAGCUACACAGCGAAAGGAAGAGGGGAGGGUGUUCUGUAACCAGGGACGACAACAGCAACACUCCACAGAGCUACCGGGAGGAUAGAGAGAGAGACACACACACAAUAACCUUCCUUCCCAGGCUGUGCAAGCAAGGGCAGGGGAGGAAAAACAAAUCCACCUGCAGUGUUUCAUUUUUUAUGAAGAGAAACCAUGACUGAAAUGUAACCACAGCUCUGGUCGCUGUAAAAAAACCGAACCCCAAAGCCCUCUCCCCAAGUGUAAUGUAGCAAUUCUGUUGGUUAGCGUUAUUCUUCAAUUGAAGAGUGGGGUAAACUCCUCCAGGACUGAAAUCCCAUCUCCCAGAAGGUGGGAGCACCACUAAAACAAAAGCAAUUCUUCCCUCUCCCCCUUACUCCAUUGCUGCUGCUGCUUUUGUGUUUUUUAAAGAAACAUUGUUCUAGGAAGGAGAGGAGAUUGGAAGAAGAACCCGAGGUGAUUUUGAAUUGUUUUUAAAG
This 1467-nucleotide long non-coding RNA is filed under the name Chrysemys picta bellii (western painted turtle). Its description in RNAcentral is "lncRNA (ENSCPBG00000022687.1)". Lineage: Eukaryota; Metazoa; Chordata; Testudines; Emydidae. The record is from RNAcentral.